CGGGGCUCCGCCGUGGAGGCGGAGCCGGCGGAGGCGGAGGAUGCCGGAGACGAGGGAGAAGAAGAAAAAGGGGGAGGAGAAAAUUGGGAGAGUGGAUAGGAAUGCGUACCUUGGGUUGCUGGCUGAUGGCGGCGGAGUGGAGCUGGAGCGCCGCCGUGACGGGAGCUCGCCGGCGAUGAGGGAGUUGGUGGUCAGGGCGGCUCCUGUUGCCGGAAGGGGGCGCUGAAGGUGGCCCUGUCAUCGUGGCGUUGAGGAAGACCUCCUCCCCGACAUGCAGGGAGGAGGGGAGCGUGGCGGACCUUCAUCGGCGAAGUCGCCGG
RNAcentral lists this unclassified non-coding RNA (320 nucleotides) under Hevea brasiliensis (rubber tree). Lineage: Eukaryota; Viridiplantae; Streptophyta; Magnoliopsida; Malpighiales; Euphorbiaceae. The record is from RNAcentral.